ACGUAUGUUCCAAGCGUUAUCCGGAUUUAUUGGGCGUAAAGCGAGCGCAGACGGUUAUUUAAGUCUGAAGUGAAAGCCCUCAGCUCAACUGAGGAAUUGCUUUGGAAACUGGAUGACUUGAGUGCAGUAGAGGAAAGUGGAACUCCAUGUGUAGCGGUGAAAUGCGUAGAUAUAUGGAAGAACACCAGUGGCGAAGGCGGCUUUCUGGACUGUAACUGACGUUGAGGCUCGAAAGUGUGGGUAGCAAACAG
Molecule: ribosomal RNA, 251 nt
Filed under: uncultured bacterium
Lineage: Bacteria
Description: partial 16S ribosomal RNA
Rfam family: Bacterial small subunit ribosomal RNA
Source: RNAcentral